CUCCUCGGGGCAGCAGUGGGGAAUAUUGCACAAUGGGGGAAACCCUGAUGCAGCGACGCCGCGUGAGUGAAGAAGUAUUUCGGUACGUAAAGCUCUAUCAGCAGGGAAGAAAAUGACGGUACCUGACUAAGAAGCCCCGGCUAACUACGUGCCAGCAGCCGCGGUAAUACGUAGGGGGCAAGCGUUAUCCGGAUUUACUGGGUGUCAAGGGAGCGUAGACGGCAGCGCAAGUCUGGAGUGAAAUCCCAUGGCUUAACCAUGGAACUGCUUUGGAAACUGUGCAGCUGGAGUGCAGGAGAGGAAAG
RNAcentral lists this ribosomal RNA (305 nucleotides) under uncultured bacterium. RNAcentral's name for it is "bacterial SSU rRNA". It matches the Rfam family "Bacterial small subunit ribosomal RNA", at positions 339 to 661 of the family's 1533-position model. The record is from RNAcentral.